Molecule: non-coding RNA, 21 nt
Organism: Caenorhabditis elegans
Lineage: Eukaryota; Metazoa; Nematoda; Chromadorea; Rhabditida; Rhabditidae
Source: Ensembl
UCACUAAGGCGAUUAGGUGAA